RNAcentral lists this ribosomal RNA (253 nucleotides) under uncultured bacterium. RNAcentral describes it as "partial 16S ribosomal RNA". It matches the Rfam family "Bacterial small subunit ribosomal RNA", at positions 524 to 776 of the family's 1533-position model. The record is from RNAcentral.
UACGUAGGGUGCAAGCGUUAAUCGGAAUUACUGGGCGUAAAGCGUGCGCAGGCGGUUUUGUAAGACAGGUGUGAAAUCCCCGGGCUUAACCUGGGAACUGCGCUUGUAACUGGCAAGCUGGAGUGUGGCAGAGGGGGGUGGAAUUCCUGGUGUAGCGGUGAAAUGCGCAGAUAUCAGGAGGAACACCAAUUGCGAAGGCAGCUCGCUGGGACGUCACUGACGCUGAGACGCGAAAGCGUGGGGAGCAAACAGG